CUCUGUGACUCCGUACGGGAGGCAGCAGGUGGGAAUAUUGCACAAUGGGCGCAAGCCUGAUGCAGCCAUGCCGCGUGUGUGAAGAAGGCCUUCGGGUUGUAAAGCACUUUCAGUCGUGAGGAAGGUAGUGUAGUUAAUAGCUGCAUUAUUUGACGUUAGCGACAGAAGAAGCACCGGCUAACUCCGUGCCAGCAGCCGCGGUAAUACGGAGGGUGCGAGCGUUAAUCGGAAUUACUGGGCGUAAAGCGCAUGCAGGUGGUUUGUUAAGUCAGAUGUGAAAGCCCCGGGGCUCAACCUCGGAAUAGCAUUUGAAACUGGCAGACUAGAGUACUGUAGAGGGGGUAGAAUUUCAGGUGUAGCGGUGAAAUGCGUAGAGAUCUGAAGGAAUACCGGUGGCGAAGGCGGCCCCCUGGACAGAUACUGACACUCAGAUGCGAAAGCGUGGGGAGCAAACAGGAUUAGAUACCCUGGUAG
Molecule: ribosomal RNA, 474 nt
Filed under: uncultured bacterium
Lineage: Bacteria
Description: bacterial SSU rRNA
Rfam family: Bacterial small subunit ribosomal RNA
Source: RNAcentral